Molecule: long non-coding RNA, 2847 nt
Organism: Chrysemys picta bellii (western painted turtle)
Lineage: Eukaryota; Metazoa; Chordata; Testudines; Emydidae
Source: RefSeq, a predicted model, not a curated record
UUAAUAGAGCAAUACAAAAUAACAAUACACUCGUUUGCAAUGUGCAAAUGAAUGAUUCGUCUUUCGAGGUGCACCUCGAUGAGUUUGCAACUUGCAUCUACUGAGGGACUCUGCCGCGGCGGGUUCCUACGAGGCACGGGACGGGACCCUAUAGGGAGCAACACUGCGCGUGGGCGAAGCAGCGGCUGUGGUAGCGCGUGGGAAUGGGGGAAGGUUAGCGACAGCCAAGGAACGCUGUGGGACACACAGCGCCUGCGGCUUCCCCUCUCCGUCUCGCGCUGCCAGUGCGCACCCCGCGCGCUGCUCUUCUCUCCCCCCCAGCCCAGCUCCUCAGCUGAUUCAUUGGCUGUGACUGCCCAGACUGGCCGGCGCCGGGCGCGUGACAUCAUCCAUUCACACUGCGGCCCAGCUGGCGCCGCCAGGGCGGUCGCCGUGGCAACGCGGACGCCAAUCUCAGCACAAUGACUUCCAGCUGCACACAGCGAGCGGCGUUGGGCCCACAGCGCAGGCGCCGAUGGGGCCUUCCGCGGCCGGCUUGGGACUCGGGUGGUGCGCGCGCUCUGCCUGUGGGGAGGCGUGGGACUGUGCGCGCGCGCGCGCGCGCUUUGAGUCUCAUCCCCUAGGGUCGUGCCUGCCUUGCGCCGCUGCUGCUGGUGCGCCGCGCCAGAGGGACGGUGCAAAAUGAGCCCUGCACGGGGGAACUGCUCCCCGCUCAUCCAGCGGCGUCCCUAGUCGGGCUAAAAGGAAUGAGUCGGGGCAAAGGCGUUUGCAGCACCAAUAAUAAUUACAACUCAAAUUAACUGAUCUUUGCAAAGCCCCUUGGAAAUGCCAAGUGCGUUCCGGUGAAAAUGUGCUGCAGAGGGAAAAGGCAAAAUCUUGAAUCUUCUUGGAGCCUGAGGGUUCUUGACAGCUUUUGGCCCCAAGCCACCGAAGAGUAGGAACAAAAUAGAGACUGAGUCUAGCUGCUCUUGUGUAUGAAGUGCAACGUAGACAAUCCAGACCCCAGUGCAUCCUGGAGCAUGAAUGCUGCAAAAAGGGUCAGCUGUGCCCCUUGGAUCCAACCAAUUGUUGGCCUUUUCCUCCCAAAAUUUCCAUGGCAUGAGUAGAGAACAGAUGUAGCUGUUCCUGCUGCAACCAAAAAAAAAAAAAAGAACCUUGUUGCACCCAGGUGUAUGAGGACCACAAAAACCCUGGAGCUGGCAUCAGGUGCCUGCUGGAUCUUUACAACUUUUUGACCCAAACUGUAAAAUCUAAAUAGAAACAAAUGUAGCUACUUCUGCUUUACUGGAAAAAUCCCCUUUGGAAAACUUUCAUGAUUUUAUUGUGAGUCUUUUGUGAUAUUUCUGUUGAAGCCCUAGCUCUUGAACUCAAGUGGCUGAGGACCACAGCUUUCAUUUGAAAAAUAGCCAGACCACAAGGGACUUGGACCAGGGGAUAUACAUCUGCUACCAACUCAAUGGCUCCCUUCCUGCUCUUUGAAGACUCAAUGUAUGACGAAGAUGCUGGAGAGGCUUGUCAAGGCACUUUUUGCAGCCGACUGCGCCUUGAUGGUCCAUAGACACGACGACCUUCAGGUCAGCGUUGACAGAUUUUCUGAAGCAUCCCAGUUCUUUGGCCUCACCAUCAAUCUCGGGAGACAGAGGUCUUGUUCCAACCACCACCUCAUUCCAAUGCCCCAGUGUCAGCCAUCUUCAUCAAAGGCACACAGCUGAAAAAUGUGGAUCAGUUCAAGUAUUUGGGCAGCACCAUCUUGAGUGAUGGUUCCCUUGAUAAGGAAAUUUCCUCCAGAAUUAGUAAAGCCAUUCAGGCCCUUGGCUGACUAAGAACAAAAGUCCUUAACCAACACAACAUCUCUCUCCACCAAGUUGAAGAUCUACAGUGCAGUGGUUCUAACAUCUCUCCUGUAUGGAUCUGAGACGUGGACUCUUUAUAGACAUCACAUUAAAGAGCUUGAGCAAUUUCACAUGCACUCCCUCUGUUCAAUAAUGAGCAUUCGCUGGCAGGGCAGAGAGACCAAGAAGUGGGCUGUAGUCCAUGAAAGCUUAUGCUCUAAUAAAUUUGUUAGUCUCUAAGGUGCCACAAGUACUCCUGUUCUUCUUUUUGCGGAUACAGACUAACACGGCUACUACUCUGAAACCUGUCAAUAUAUUAAGGUCCUUGAAAGAGCAAACAACCAGCAUUGAAGAAAUGCUACUGAGAGUGCAUCUUAGGUGAACUGGACAUGUCAUCAGAAUGGAAGACCACCGUCCCCCAAAACAGAUCUUGUAUGGGAAGCUGAGUCAGGGCAAAAGAAAGAAGGGUCAUCAGUAUAAGCGUUUCAAGAUAACCUGAAGAGCAGUCUCCAAUGGGCUGGCAUCAGUCUCCAAGAACUCGAGCAAAUGGCUCAGAACAGGACUCACUGGCAGUCUCUGACAAGAUCAGCAUGUAACACAUUUGAAUGGGUUCGACAAAAUCGUCUCCAGGCUGUACGUGAAAGGCGCCACAGAGCUACUUCAUCAAACAUAGAUACAGACUUCCCAUGCCCUCAGUGCGGCCAACUCUAUGCAUCAGGGUUUGGACUUCAGCAUCAUAUGCGUAGUCAGAGAUGAAAACUGUGACAAUAUCAUUAGCAAUGGACUACCAACAAACUCUCAGCCUAAUUUUUGUAGCAGCCUUUUGAGAACCUGUAAGAGGGGAGAGUAUUGUAAAAAUAGAUAUUUAGUUAUGGUGGUCAGAGGAGUUUGUCAUUCAGAAUAGCGCCCUCUUCAGUGCAGUAGAUGAAGUCUGUUCCUGCUCCCACUGAAGUUAGUAGCAAAACUUCCAUUGACUUCAGUGGGAGCAGGAUUGGGCCCAUUAUUUCAAGCAAAA